Lepisosteus oculatus (spotted gar) is the source of this 132-nucleotide small nuclear RNA. Its record names the gene U4. It matches the Rfam family "U4 spliceosomal RNA". Rfam says of the family: U4 small nuclear RNA (U4 snRNA) is a component of the major U2-dependent spliceosome. The record is from Ensembl. Lineage: Eukaryota; Metazoa; Chordata; Actinopteri; Semionotiformes; Lepisosteidae.
UUCUUUGUAGCAGUAUCGUAGCCUAUGAGGCUUAGCCAAAGCACAACUAUUGCUUGUUGAAAAUUUUUCCCAAUACCCGCCUCCACCGAUUUGAAAUACAAUCAGUGAAAGCAAUUUUUGUCUCGUAAGAGA